GGUUGACAGUGACAAAGGUGGUUCUUGUUCUGUAAUCUAAGGCUUAGCCAUAGUGACUUGGAACUCACAAACCAACCAAUCCGACCUAUAGACCCUCCUGUAAUUACAAAAUAAAACAGCUAAAUAGAUCUCUAUCUUCCACAGAUGUUUCUUGCAUAGAAGAAAUAAUAGUUACACACUUGACUUGCUACAAUCAACAGUCAUAAAACUCACCUACUAUUAAAAAUACAUGAAUUAACAAAAAAAUACCACAUUAAUCCCAUCAAGAACAACAUUUAUACAUUAGAGAAACAUAAACCAGACAUACAGUGUUCACUGAGUUACCAAUUCAAGCAACUGGCUAACACAUUCAACAGAGAACAUUAAUAUGCCACCAAAAAUCAACAGACAGCAACAAAAUCAGUACCAGGAACCCUAGUCAAGGAAGAAAAUAUUCUCUACACAAACUAAUACCAACAUCAUUUAAUUUAUUAUUCAAGUUAUCAAUCAUCACCACAGUCCACAGACAUACAGCAUAUUCAACAGAUAACAUAAUCAAUGCAAACAAUUAUAAAAAUAAAAACUCAGCCUAAUUAUCAAAAUACCAAACAUAAAAAGGGAAGGAAAGAGAAGCUCAAAACCUCAGAAUCACCCCCAGCAAUUG
This 643-nucleotide unclassified non-coding RNA is filed under the name Hevea brasiliensis (rubber tree). Lineage: Eukaryota; Viridiplantae; Streptophyta; Magnoliopsida; Malpighiales; Euphorbiaceae. The record is from RNAcentral.